AUACAGAGGGUGCAAGCGUUAAUCGGAUUUACUGGGCGUAAAGCGCGCGUAGGUGGCUAAUUAAGUCAAAUGUGAAAUCCCCGAGCUUAACUUGGGAAUUGCAUUCGAUACUGGUUAGCUAGAGUAUGGGAGAGGAUGGUAGAAUUCCAGGUGUAGCGGUGAAAUGCGUAGAGAUCUGGAGGAAUACCGAUGGCGAAGGCAGCCAUCUGGACUAAUAAGGACUCUGAGGUGCGAAAGCAGGGGGAGAAAACAGGAUUAGAUACCCUGGUAGUCCAUGCCGUAAACGAUGUCUACUAGCCGUUGGGGCCCUUGAGGCUUUAGUGGCGCAGCUAACGCGAUAAGUAGACCGCCUGGGGAGUACGGUCGCAAGACUAAAACUCAAAUGAAUUGACGGGG
Molecule: ribosomal RNA, 396 nt
Filed under: uncultured bacterium
Lineage: Bacteria
Description: partial 16S ribosomal RNA
Rfam family: Bacterial small subunit ribosomal RNA
Source: RNAcentral